CUGCGAACAUUCUCUGAUAAUUUAUAAUUUGUAUAAAAUUAAAUUAGAUUAAUAAUUAGUAACAAAUGAUUUCUUAAAAAUGAUUUAUUUAUAGAAUUAACAUGAAAAUAAUAAUAUGAUUUAUAUAAGAGAUGAUAUAUUGACAAAUAAUCAUUUAAAAUUAUAUAUGAGAUUUUUAUAUAUUAAAAAAAAGAAAAUAAAAAACAUUAUGCUUUUUAAAAUAAGACGAAGUUAGUUAAGUAAUUUUAUUUGUAAAAUUUUAUAGUAGACAAUAGAGUAGUGGAGAGUGUAGUAUAUAAUGACGUGUCAUUUAUUAUUGGAAGAGUGCAAUGUUACAAGUUGUUAUAAUAAGGGACGUUUGAGUGAGGGUACUGUGAGUGUUGUGAGUGUUGCUGGGUGAAAGGGUACUACCUCCAUUAUGCAGGCUAUUUUCUUUUGUUACUUUGUUUUUUUAUAUCAAUGAAUUAAUUUAAGUUUGUUGUUGAUGGUAUGUGCAGAGAUCAGUGAGAACUUCUCCUCAUUUUGUUGAACCUACACACUGUUUGUUUCUCCGUUCUCAGGUAAUCCCCGUUCUUUUUCUUUUUUUUAAAUUUUUUUAUUUGAUUUUUUAUAUAUAUCAAAACUCAAACACAGAGAAAUGCACAAAUGAAACAAUUCAUUACUAAUCAUCAAAGUUCAUUGCUACUAAACAUAACGUAAGUAGCAAUAACUUCGUAUAUUAUAUAUACACGAAAAACAAUUUUCUACAUCUUAUUAUUUUUGGAUUGGAUGAAUCUAAAUUAUACUGCGACAUUCUCUGAUAAUUUAUAAUUUGUAUAAAAUUAAAUUAGAUUAAUAAUUAGUAACAAAUGAUUUCUUAAAAUGAUUUAUUUAUAGAAUUACAUGAAAAUAAUAAUAUGAUUUAUAUAAGAGAUGAUAUAUUGACAAAUAAUCAUUUAAAUAUAUAUGAGAUUUUUAUAUAUUAAAAAAAGAAAAUAAAAAACAUUAUGCUUUUUAAAAUAAGACGAAGUUAGUUAAGUAAUUUUAUUUGUAAUUUUUAUAGUAGACAAUAGAGUAGUGGAGAGUGUAGUAUAUAAUGACGUGUCAAUUUAUUAUUGGAAGAGUGCAAUGUUACAAGUUGUUAUAAUAAGGGACGUUUGAGUGAGAGGGUACUGUGAGUGUUGUGAGUGUUGCUGGGUGAAAGGGUACUACCUCCAUUAUGCAGGCUAUUUUCUUUUGUUACUUUGUUUUUUUAUAUCAAUGAAUUAAUUUAAGUUUGUUGUUGAUGGUAUGUGCAGAGAUCAGUGAGAACUUCUCCUCAUUUUGUUGAACCUACACACUGUUUGUUUCUCCCGUUCUCAGGUAUCCCCCGUUCUUUUUCUUUUUUUUAAAUUUUUUUAUUUGAUUUUUAUAUAUAUCAAACUCAAACACAGAAGAAUGCACAAAAUGAAACAAAUUCAUUACUAAUCACAAAGUUCAUUGCUACUAAACAUAACGUAAGUAGCAAAUAACUUCGUAUAUAUAUAUAUAACACGAAAAAAACAAUUUUCUACAUCUUAUUAUUUUUGGAUUGGAUGAAUCUAAAUUAUACUGCGAACAUUCUCUGAUAAUUAUAAUUUGUAUAAAAUUAAAUUAGAUUAAUAAUUAGUAACAAUGAUUUCUAAAAAUGAUUUAUUUAUAGAAUUAACAUGAAAAUAAUAAUAUGAUUUAUAUAAGAGAUGAUAUAUUGACAAAUAAUCAUUUAAAAUUAUAUAUGAGAUUUUUAUAUAUUAAAAAAAAGAAAUAAAAACAUUAUGCUUUUUAAAAUAAGACGAAGUUAGUUAAGUAAUUUUAUUUGUAAAAUUUUAUAGUAGACAAUAGAGUAGUGGAGAGUGUAGUAUAUAAGACGUGUCAAUUUAUUAUUGGAAGAGUGCAAUGUUACAGUUGUUAUAAUAAGGGACGUUUGAGUGAGAGGGUACUGUGAGUGUUGUGAGUGUUGCUGGGUGAAAGGGUACUACCUCCAUUAUGCAGGCUAUUUUCUUGUACUUUGUUUUUUUAUAUCAAUGAAUUAAUUAAGUUGUUUGUUGAUGGUAUGUGCAGAGAUCAGUGAGAACUUCUCCUCAUUUUGUUGAACCUACACACUGUUUGUUUCUCCCGUUCUCAGGUAAUCCCC
Molecule: long non-coding RNA, 2131 nt
Filed under: Lathyrus oleraceus (garden pea)
Lineage: Eukaryota; Viridiplantae; Streptophyta; Magnoliopsida; Fabales; Fabaceae
Description: Pisum sativum (pea) long non-coding RNA (PSAT_LNC040748)
Source: RNAcentral